AAUUCUCAACUAUUUUAUGUGCCCGUUUGUUGAAAUACCCUACGUUAGUCCAUUUUUUAGAAAUCGACCCGCGAUGACGAGGUAUAUCGCUUUACCUGACAGCGUGAGGUUUAAGAAGUUCAUUUCUAAUUUUGUCUUGUGGCAUAUUAGAAAUGAUGUUUCUUUGAAAAUCGUUCGCUUACAACGGAUAAAACGACUUCUGAGUGGU
Small nucleolar RNA from Bactrocera tryoni, 208 nucleotides. RefSeq annotates it as small nucleolar RNA U3. The record is from RefSeq and is a predicted model, not a curated record. The transcript has a single exon. NCBI's taxonomy places the organism in Eukaryota, Metazoa, Arthropoda, Insecta, Diptera, Tephritidae.